RNAcentral lists this ribosomal RNA (440 nucleotides) under uncultured bacterium. RNAcentral's name for it is "partial 16S ribosomal RNA". It matches the Rfam family "Bacterial small subunit ribosomal RNA", at positions 338 to 795 of the family's 1533-position model. The record is from RNAcentral.
CCUACGGGGGGCAGCAGUGGGGAAUUUUCGACAAUGGGGGAAACCCUGAUGCAGCGAUGCCGCGUGAGUGAAGAAGUCCUUCGGUACGUAAAGCUCUAUUAGCAGGGAAGAAAAUCACGGUACCUGACUAAGCACUCCCGGCUAACUCCGUGCCAGCAGCUGCGGUCAUACGGCGGGGGCAAGCGUUAUCCGGUAUUACUGGGUGGAACGGGAGCGGAGACGGCAGCGCAUGUCUGGAGUGAAAUCCCGGGGCUUAACCCCGGAACUGCUUUGGAAACUGUGGGGCUGGAGAGCAGGAGAGGGAGGCGGAAUUCCAAGUGUAGCGGUAAAAUGCGUAGAUAUAAGGAGGAACACCAGUGGCGAAGGCGGCUGACUGGACUGUAACUGACGUUGAGGCACGAAAGCGUGGGGAGCAAACAGGAUUAGAUACCCGAGUAGUC